This 103-nucleotide microRNA precursor is filed under the name Marmota monax (woodchuck). The record is from RNAcentral. Lineage: Eukaryota; Metazoa; Chordata; Mammalia; Rodentia; Sciuridae.
AGAGGGAUUGCUGGGUCAAAAAGUGGUUCCAUUCCCAGCUUUCCAAGGAAUCUCCAUACUACUUUCCAUAUUGGCUGUACCAAUUUGCAAUCCCACCAGCAAU